AUGAACGCUGGCGGCGUGCCUAAUACAUGCAAGGCGAGCGAACAGAUGAGGAGCUUGCUCCUCUGACGUUAGCGGCGGACGGGUGAGUAACACGUGGAUAACCUACCUAUAAGACUGGGAUAACUUCGGGAAACCGGAGCUAAUACCGGAUAAUAUAUUGAACCGCAUGGUUCAAUAGUGAAAGACGGUUUUGCUGUCACUUAUAGAUGGAUCCGCGCCGCAUUAGCUAGUUGGUAAGGUAACGGCUUACCAAGGCAACGAUGCGUAGCCGACCUGAGAGGGUGAUCGGCCACACUGGAACUGAGACACGGUCCAGACUCCUACGGGAGGCAGCAGUAGGGAAUCUUCCGCAAUGGGCGAAAGCCUGACGGAGCAACGCCGCGUGAGUGAUGAAGGUCUUCGGAUCGUAAAACUCUGUUAUUAGGGAAGAACAAAUGUGUAAGUAACUAUGCACGUCUUGACGGUACCUAAUCAGAAAGCCACGGCUAACUACGUG
RNAcentral lists this ribosomal RNA (496 nucleotides) under uncultured bacterium. RNAcentral's name for it is "partial 16S ribosomal RNA". It matches the Rfam family "Bacterial small subunit ribosomal RNA", at positions 29 to 507 of the family's 1533-position model. The record is from RNAcentral.